CAGUAGCCGCGGGAAUACGUAGGGUGCGAGCGUUAAUCGGAAUUACUGGGCGUAAAGCGUGCGCAGGCGGUUCUAUAAGACAGAUGUGAAAUCCCCGGGCUCAACCUGGGAACUGCAUUUGUGACUGUAGAGCUGGAGUGCGGCAGAGGGGGAUGGAAUUCCGCGUGUAGCAGUGAAAUACGUAGAUAUGCGGAGGAACACCGAUGGCGAAGGCAAUCCCCUGGGCCUGCACUGACGCUCAUGCACGAAAGCGUGGGGAGCAAACAAGAUUAGAUACCCCAGUAGUCCCUGUCUCUUAUAC
Molecule: ribosomal RNA, 301 nt
Filed under: uncultured bacterium
Lineage: Bacteria
Description: partial 16S ribosomal RNA
Rfam family: Bacterial small subunit ribosomal RNA
Source: RNAcentral